Molecule: ribosomal RNA, 767 nt
Filed under: Salmonella enterica subsp. enterica serovar Typhimurium
Lineage: Bacteria; Pseudomonadati; Pseudomonadota; Gammaproteobacteria; Enterobacterales; Enterobacteriaceae
Description: partial 23S ribosomal RNA
Rfam family: Bacterial large subunit ribosomal RNA
Source: RNAcentral
CUGCAUGGAGCCGACCUUGAAAUACCACCCUUUAAUGUUUGAUGUUCUAACGUGGACCCGUAAUCCGGGUUGCGGACAGUGUCUGGUGGGUAGUUUGACUGGGGCGGUCUCCUCCUAAAGAGUAACGGAGGAGCACGAAGGUUGGCUAAUCCUGGUCGGACAUCAGGAGGUUAGUGCAAUGGCAUAAGCCAGCUUGACUGCGAGCGUGACGGCGCGAGCAGGUGCGAAAGCAGGUCAUAGUGAUCCGGUGGUUCUGAAUGGAAGGGCCAUCGCUCAACGGAUAAAAGGUACUCCGGGGAUAACAGGCUGAUACCGCCCAAGAGUUCAUAUCGACGGCGGUGUUUGGCACCUCGAUGUCGGCUCAUCACAUCCUGGGGCUGAAGUAGGUCCCAAGGGUAUGGCUGUUCGCCAUUUAAAGUGGUACGCGAGCUGGGUUUAGAACGUCGUGAGACAGUUCGGUCCCUAUCUGCCGUGGGCGCUGGAGAACUGAGGGGGGCUGCUCCUAGUACGAGAGGACCGGAGUGGACGCAUCACUGGUGUUCGGGUUGUCAUGCCAAUGGCACUGCCCGGUAGCUAAAUGCGGAAGAGAUAAGUGCUGAAAGCAUCUAAGCACGAAACUUGCCCCGAGAUGAGUUCUCCCUGAGACUUAGAGUCUCCUGAAGGAACGUUGAAGACGACGACGUUGAUAGGCCGGGUGUGUAAGCGCAGCGAUGCGUUGAGCUAACCGGUACUAAUGAACCGUGAGGCUUAACCUUACAACGCCGAAG